This 99-nucleotide microRNA precursor is filed under the name Nomascus leucogenys (northern white-cheeked gibbon). RNAcentral describes it as "miRNA (ENSNLEG00000030949.1)". Lineage: Eukaryota; Metazoa; Chordata; Mammalia; Primates; Hylobatidae. The record is from RNAcentral.
GAGGUGGGAGGAUCUCUUGAGCCUGGGAGGUUGAGACUGCAGUGAGCUGUGACUGUGCCACUGCACUCCAGCCUGAGUGACAGAGCAAGACCCUGUCUC